RNAcentral lists this long non-coding RNA (3518 nucleotides) under Olea europaea subsp. europaea. The record is from RNAcentral. Lineage: Eukaryota; Viridiplantae; Streptophyta; Magnoliopsida; Lamiales; Oleaceae.
GCACGGAGUACAUAUUGAUAAGAAUCCAAUGAUGAGAUACAGAAAUAUUCCAUUAAAGCCAACAUUAUAUACAUCGAAAAUCCCUUGAAAAAUCUAUGUUCGACAGCUAAGUCAGUUCUAGCAAGUUUAUAUUUUCAGCUGCCAGUUCAUCACAAUAGCCUGUAGACUUAUUCCAGAAAUAAAGAAAAGGAGUCCAAUUACAAAUGUGAAGUGAAGAAAUAUGAUAGUUCACCAUCAGAAAAGGAGGUCUAGGAAGACCAAGCACACUUUGUGAGGAGGAAGAGACUAACACUUUGACACCGGGCAUGAUAGUGAUUAUCCUGCAUGCUAGCUGCAACAAAUAAUUCACAGGGAAGAAUACAAACGAAAACACCCAAAGACAAAGAGAAAUCUCUUCAAUUCAAUUCAACUUUACUAAAUUUCAAAAUGACAAAAAAUAACAAGUGAGGCUAUCUAGCCGAGAAAAUUCAAAAUUUUACCAAAAAAAGCAAAAUCUCAAUAAUCAUACCAAAAAUAAAAGUAUGUAAUAAAAGAAUUAUCUUGCCAAAAAUCUAGCUCAAAUCGAGUUCAUAAUCAUCUCGAAAACGGAAAAGGAAAUAUUGUCAUAAAUGGAAAAAUAAUAAUAAUAACAAAAAAUGGAAAUUCGAAAGGGAAAAUAGCGAAUUUUGGUCUCGAAAUUGACGCCUAUCGAGCAUAGCUUUUAAUUACGAUUCUGAUAACCGUAGCCAAAUUAUGACAAAAUUACCAAAACGUGUUCAAAACUGCUCCAAUUAAGAAAAGUUCAAUAUCACUUGCCAUCUUUGCGCCAAUCUGCUGACUCAUGGUAUCUUAACCCCAUCGAUGUGCUAUCUGACAACUCGGCAUCACUUGACUCGGAAUCUCGUGAAUCACACUCGAACAAAAUAUAGCUUUCCCCACUAAAUUUUCACAGCCAACCAAAAGAGCAGGUGAAAACGCUUGUUUAUUGAGCAAUAAAAAUACUGUCAUAUUUUUGCCAUCCAAUUGUUUUCCCGACCCACUAAAAUUAGCCUGUGAAAACAUUAUUUACCAAACAAAUAUAAUUAUUAGUCGGUCCAGACGAGAUAUAUUUGUCGACUAUAUGAAAUGGACCUACGAAUAUCUUUUUUUCGGCGGAAAUUUUUCACUGGGGAUAUGCACACAAAAAAUAAUUGGACUUUUAGACACACAAUAACAUUUAGCUAGGCUAAGAAAUUGACUGAAAACAGCUAGACAAAUAGAUAAGGAUCUACUAGUGAGAUAUGGCAGUGUUCCAUUAUUAUAUCAUUGCAAUGCAAAAGUUAUACGCUUCCACUUCACUCAGGCUUUUUGGAAAAUACUUUCACAUUCUCCAGCAUAGUAUAAACAUUUAUUCGUGUAAAUGUUUUCUUUCAAAUGCCUUUAUAUCCAUAGAAUAGAACCCUCAUUCACUUCUGACAGAAAAUAAAUUUCUGCUCAAAAUAAUCUUGAAUAUCACUCAAUUAAAUAAAAACUUAUAGACCUAAUAUCACACCAUUCCAAGUUUUAGGGCAUGAAGUAAUCAUAAUCUUAAAACAACUAACCGGGGUAUAAUUAAGAUGUCAAAACUCAGGAAAGAAUCCAAUUGAAACAAAAUUCACAACAAAUUGUCAAAGCAGAAAUGAGGACAAAAAACAUGUAUUCAUUGUAAAGUCUUGAAUAACAUGAAAGGUUUCAAAAUUAUUCUGGAAUCUUACUCAAACAAAAUUUAAAAAUUACUUUAUAAUCUUACAUAAACAAAAAAUAAUUGGAAAACUUAUUCGCUAAAACAAGCCAUGAACAAAUCUAACUGAAUCUUAUCUAACUUUUCAUGAAAAAUCUAACAAAGAGCCUUAGUUUGAUUGACCUCCGUGGAAUAAAAACCUCAAUGCUCAACAAUGGAUUGAAAGCAAAGUAUUUCAGCUUUGAAUUCUGGGUUUUUGGGAUGAAAGAUUUUAAUUAAUACAUCAAAAAGGGAGAAUUUUCAGUUGCUCAAAAACAUUAAGAAAGAAAAAGAAAAAAAAGGGGGCGGGGGUUAUGCAAAAGCUCAAGUUAAGGAGAUUACAUCUGAUUUUUAUCGUUGUUGGUUAGUUACGCAAUUUCGCUAAGCGUAUUCGUAUACAUAGAAGUGAUUAUGAGAAAUUGGUUGUAUUUAAUUUAAAGCAACAGGAUAGUACUCAAAAAUAAGAUUUCGACUGUUUUUAUGGCAAUAAGCAUGCACCAAUAGAUAAGAAAUGUUCUUUCAUAUUUAAAGCAACUAUUUAAUCUUUCUUUCAUGUUUGAUCAUUUAAAAAAUGCACUGGCAGAACUGAAAUUCGUGUUCCAAGAUAUCGACCUCCCCACCAAAGAGGUCCUUACCGUAAAAUAUGUUUCCCAAGGAUAGUUUCAGUUUUAUAAAAUCUACUGUUGCAACGAGUGACGUAGUUUGAUGGUUUUGGACAGUAAAAUCAAGAAAAUGUAAAAAUCAUGUUCAUUAUAUGAUCUAGAGUCAUAUCCAGCUGUCUGCACAAAAUAUGCACAGGGUAAUUCUUCUUGUUAGUUUAAGAUUUAAAAAAAAAAAAAAAAAAAAAAAAAAGGAGUACAUAUUGAUCAGAGUCCAAUGGCGAGACAAAGAAGUGUUCCAUUUUAAUUCCAUUAUAAUACCACAGUCAUAUACGUCUACAAAUUCAUCAAAAAAUUUAUGUUCGGUACCUAAGUCAAUUCUAGCAAGUUUACAUUUUCAGUUGCCAGUUCAUCAUGGUAGCCCAUAGAUUUAUUCAGAAGUAUAGAAAAGAAGUCCAAUUACGAAUGUUAAGGGAAGGAAUACGAUAGUUCACCAGGGAGGUAUAGGGAAACCAAGCAGACUUUUUGAGGAAUAGACUAAAACUAGAACGAAAUAUAUCUUUCACAAUUGAAUUUUCCCAGCCAACCAAAAGCAGGUGAAAAUGCUCACUUCUUGACUAAUAAAAAUACUUAGCCAUAUCUUUGCCGACAGGUUGUUUCCUGACCCACCAAAAAUUAGACAGUGAAAACAUUAUUUACCAACCAAAAUAAUUAUUGGUUGAACUAUGGGAGACAUAUUUGCCGAUCAGAUGAAAUGGGUAUGCGAAUAACUUAUUUUUUGGCCCGGAUGUUUUGUAAGGGAUAUGGGCACAACAAUUAAUUGGACUUUUAGACACAAAUAAGAUUUAGCUAGGGUAAGAAAAUCUAAUCUCCAACAAUACUGUGCAUCUUCUCCAUUUCCGGCCAUGAAUAUCUUAUCUCCCAUUCUGGUACCAUCCGUCUCUCUCAAUUUUUGGCCAACCCUGGAGAAUUUACACUAUCUUCCCUUCCUCUCUUUUGUAUAAACUACUGCCCUCUCUUUGUGUCUCCGAGGGAGAUUAUGCCCCUUGGUUAAUGAUAAGACCUAGGGAGGAUAGGGAUAUUGGUGGCUGGUGGUUGCAUGUGGGAUAUUUGGAUAUUGCCUGUUGGAGGAAGGAAGGGUUUAUUAACUUGGAUUGGCUAAAGCUUUUAAGGAGGACAACACUAAUAGGAAGAAGAAAGUG